AGAACAGACUAGGAAGGGCUGAGGAGGAGGCAGGAGGCCAUCUACUGUUAUAUGGGAUGUGGAGUGUGACCCGGAAAGGUCAAGUGUGACUCUAAGGGCUUUUUGUGUACUGAUCUUUUAUCCUGCAACCUUGCUAAACCCAUUUAUUAGUUCUUCUUGUCUUUUAGUGGCAUUUAUUAGUUGUUCUAGUGUUUUAGUGGAUUCCUUGGGAUUUUAUACAAAAGCGUGUCAUUUGUGAAUAGAGAUCAGUUUAUCUCUUCCUUUCUAAUCUGGAUGCCUUUUAUUUCUUCUCCUUGCCUAGCUGCCCUAUCUAGAAGCUCCAGUACAAUAUUGACUAGAAGCAGCAAGAGUGGACAUCCUUGUCUUGCUCCUGAUUUCAGGGAGGAGGCAUCCAGUCUUUCACCUUUGGAUGGCUGUUCACUGUAUCAUCCAGGCUGGUCACCAAUUCCUGGCUUCAACUGAUCCUCCCACCUCAAGCCUCCUGAGUAGCUGGGAUCACAGGCACAAGCCACUGGACCCAGCUUUAAUUGUUUAAGUGUUUCAUAGAAUUCAUUAUUGAAGCCAUUUGGGUCUGGGCUUUUUUGAUUACUUAUUUUGAUUAUUAAUUCAAUCUCUAUUUGUUGUAGGUCUAUUCAGAUCAUCUGUUUGUGUCUUUAGAGGAAUUUGUCCGUUUUAUUUAAGUUACAGUGUUUUGGGCGUAAGCAAUUUUAAGGAGAAAGUUAUCCUUAACCAAGAUGGGAAAGGUCGAGGCAGGGUGGUACAGGGAUUUUACCUCCCACCAGGUAUCUCCCACAAACUCCCCCUAAUAUAAUACCGGCGGAGUUUGGGCUGUGGCUUUGGCUGUGUUGAGUCUCAGAUGCCUGUUGGGCCUCCUCAUGGAAACGCUGGUGGGCGAUUGGAUGAGCAAGUCACCGGCGUGGCCCAGGUUGGAGACUGGGAAUUGUCACCACAGAGAGAGCCUUUAGAGCUGUGAGACAGGAGGAGGCGCCAAGGAGCCAUUGCUCAGGUGGAGGGGAAGUCGAGGCAUGGUGCUUGGGCCUAGGGGCAGCACUUGGGAGUAGUCAGCCUGAAAGGUGAGAAGCCAGGAGAGGGGUCCCCAGCUUAUGGCCUGGGAGCUAACUCAGAUUUGGCGAGUGCAGGUUUUGUGGAAUGGUGGUGUAUUAGUCCGUUUUCACGGUGCUAAUAAAGACACACCCGACACUGGGCAAUUUACAAAAGACAGAGGUUUAGUGACUUACAGUUCCACAUGGCUGGGGAGGCCUCACAAUCAUGGUGGAAGGCAAGGAGGAGCAAGUCACAUCUUACGUGGAUGGCGGCAGGCAAAGAGCGAGAUUGGGCAGGGAAACUCCCCCUAAUAUGAUACUGUCAGAUCUCGUGAGACUUACUCACUAUCACGAGAACAGCAUGGGAAAGACCUGCCCCAUGAUUCAAUUACCUCCCACCGGGUCCCUCCCACAGCAUGUGCAAAUUCAAGAUGAGAUAUGGGUGGGGACAAAAGACAGGCAGGAGUUCCGAGGAUGAGUAUUUGCAUUCUGUCCCUGAGUUUGCUGUAAAGGAGAGCAGCGAGACAGAGGCAUGGGGUGCGGAAUGGCGUGUUUAAGAUGGAGUGAUGACAGGUGCCCGUUGGAGUGAUGCAGUAGACAGGAUCUGAUGAUGGGGAGCAGGUGUCGUGUGCCCUUGAGCAGGAGCCCAGCAGAGAGACCCUUUUUCCUCCUGUAGCAGCAGAAGAGAAGGCAGCAGGGUGCAGGACUGAAGGAGGGCUGGGCUGGGCUGGGAUGGGAGCCUGGCUGGUUUUCCCCUGGUGGCCCUAUGACUGGUUAAGGGCAGGGCAGAGGCACGGCAGGUUGGAGGCACAGAAGGCCCAAGAUAGUUAUCUGGGCUGGAUGUGGGGCGGUAUUCUCGCCUCUCUGGGGACAUCCCUUAAGUGGACAGGAAGACUGGGUGGUUCAGGUGUAUGUCCACUCACCAAGAACACAGGAUGAAGGUGGGGCCUAGACAGUGGCUGUUUUGACCAGGGCAGAACAGUUGAGGGCAUGUGAGAGGGCCCAUGCUGACGCCAGACCUCAGUGGGGAGAGGGGAGAGUCCAGGGACCAGAGGUCCCCCUAGGCUUAAAGGACAAACCACAAGGAGAAGAGGAAGAAGUCUCUAUGUCAUUAAAGUUUCAUUAUCAGGGCUGCUAUAAUGCUUCUCAUUGCUUAUUAUAAAACCCAAUUCUGCAAGACCAGCCUAGCCAACAUGGUGAAACUCUGUCUACUAAAAAUAC
RNAcentral lists this long non-coding RNA (2264 nucleotides) under Homo sapiens (human). RNAcentral describes it as "HSALNT0355417". The record is from RNAcentral. Lineage: Eukaryota; Metazoa; Chordata; Mammalia; Primates; Hominidae.